AAUAACUCCAUUAUAUUACAGUAAUUACUUUUAAAAAUUAACGAGUCAGUUUUAUACACAUGGCAACUAAUUUGUAUUUUUCUUUUGAAAUUUUUGAGGUGAAAUCUAGAUGAAUAUUAGCAUUGAAUAUUUAUUUGUAUGUAUAAAAUUGACUCAUUUAUAAUAUUUUCAGAUACAUUUAGUUAUGUUGAUAGGAGUCCGGCCGGGAUACUAUCGAUAGUACCAAAGACUUGGUGCUAUCGAGUUUUCUACUAUUAGAUUGAACCCUUUAAUUAUUUUUACCCGUUAGAUUAUACUAUUCAACCAAUCACCCACUCAACUCUAGUGGGCCCUUAUCAUCCUAACCACACAUUUCUUAAUCCAAGCACUAAAAAACUAAUAACACUAAUAACUUGGUGCUAUUGAUAGUAUUCCAGCCUAACUAGUUCAUGUUGAUAGUAGUAUAUUGCAUUAAUUCAAUAAAAUAUAUGGAGUAAAAUCUAUUCAUAACGUACUCCUUAUUUGGUGCAUUCAGCCGAAAUUAUCGCGAUUUAGUUACCGGAUUGAGUUCGAGAAUGUGACAUCUUUUUCAGUACUUAAUGAAUUGUGAUAUAAGGAAGCGUUAGCAAAUAAAAAGUCAUAACGUAUGUAAAGCCACUUAUGCCAUGUGUCGGUAAAAUAUAUUCUGACAUUUUAAAACAACGUCAUCAUUUUUUGUAAAAUAAAUCAGUUUGAUAUAACAGAGAGAGUUGAAAAUAUCAGAUAACGAUGUUUUUUGAAGCGUUAGGAUUUGCUAUAUUAGUGGGAACGAUUUUGCGGAACAUCUUAAAAAAAAACACUUUUAUAAUAAGAUUUUCAUAUAAUGUUUAUAUAGAGAGCUGAGCUGAAAUGCUAUCGAUAGCAAACGGACUCUCUUACCACCUAUUUAUUUUUUAUGACGGAGCCUUCAAAUUAAUAAUCGGCAUUGUUGAACAUGAUCUAUACCACAUGAAGUAUUUCGAAGCCAAAUUUCAAAUCCUUUCAACAUCAUUGACAUUAUGAUUAAAAGGUUUCAAAAUUUAUAAUUUUAAUACUAGAUAUGAAGCAUUGUCUCGUUUAACGGUGUAAAGCUAUUUAAAUCAAUUGAAUUUUAGUUAGAAAAUUUUUUAAACUAUUUACAUCAAAAUCUAUACUUUCAAUAUUGAUUAUAAAAUUCUUAUCAGAUCAUUUUUUAGAUGAUAUUUAUUUUCAGCCGUUCAUUUUUACAUUCAUUUGAUGGACAAGAGAACAAUAUUAAAAAAGCAUAAAAUUUAAUUUCUAGAUAUUUCAAAUGGUAUAGAUCAUGUUCAACGGUACCGAUCGUCGAUUUGGAGGCUCCAUCAUUAAAAAUAAAUAGGUUACAAUGGAGUUCGUUUGCUAUCGAUAAUAUUCUAGCUCAACACACUCUCUCUCUCUCUCUCUAUAUAUAUAUAUAUAUAUAUGGGAUAACGUGUAAUCUAAACCCGCAUGACUAAAAAGAACGGCCUCAUAUCCGACGUAACAAGUUCAAUGCAAAAACUUAGAAAGUGUUGAAUUAAAUUAUUAAUGAAUUACGAAUAUCGAAGCAAUGUAAUAUUUUAAUUAUUAUUAUAUCAUUAAGUAGAAUAUUAUUAUAAUUUUAAAAGGUCCAAGAACUCAAAUAUUACAUACUUUAUAGUUCGAACCAAAAAUAACAACUAAUUAAAAUUUAAGACCUAAAGCAUCAUACGCCUCAUAAUUUGCGCCAGAAAUUAUCUUCAAUGAUGAAACAAGCAAUUUAUCUCUUCUUUUUUUUUUUUAAGAAAAAACUUCAAAUACCACCUCUGUGGUUUCGUAAUUUCUCAUUUUAAUACCCCAUAGUUUAAAGUGUAUCACUUUUGUACCCUGUAGUUUUAUUUUUCUCUUUUUGUUAUCUUCUUCACUAAUUUUUUCAUUAAAUCAAUGAUAAAGUUAAAACUAAAAAAUAUUAAAGUGAAUAUUCGAUAAACUAUAGGUGAGAUAUAUAUAAUCUGAAAUUUUUUUGUAUAUGUUUUAACGAAAAGUUAACGAAAGGGCUGACGAAAAGAUAAAGAUAAAAUCACAAGGUACUAAAUCGAUAUAUUAAAUCUCAGGAUAUUAAAAUGAGAAAAUACGAAACCACGGGAAUAAUAUUUAAAUUUUUUUUUUUUUUAAUGA
This 2151-nucleotide long non-coding RNA is filed under the name Ananas comosus (pineapple). RNAcentral's name for it is "long non-coding RNA (ACOM_LNC036155)". Lineage: Eukaryota; Viridiplantae; Streptophyta; Magnoliopsida; Poales; Bromeliaceae. The record is from RNAcentral.